UACGAACGGUCCAAACGUUAUUCGGAAUCACUGGGCUUAAAGCGUCCGUAGGCGGCUCGGAAAGUAGGGUGUGAAAUCCCACGGCUCAACCGUGGAAUUGCGCUCUAAACUAUCGAGCUAGAGGGAGAUAGAGGUGAGCGGAACUGAUGGUGGAGCGGUGAAAUGCGUUGAUAUCUGGAGGAACACCGGUGGCGAAGGCGGCAUCCUGGACCGGCAUUGACGCUGAGGCGCGAAAGCUAGGGGAGCAAACGGG
This 253-nucleotide ribosomal RNA is filed under the name uncultured bacterium. Its description in RNAcentral is "partial 16S ribosomal RNA". It matches the Rfam family "Bacterial small subunit ribosomal RNA", at positions 524 to 776 of the family's 1533-position model. The record is from RNAcentral.